Non-coding RNA from Pelobates cultripes (western spadefoot toad), 338 nucleotides. NCBI's taxonomy places the organism in Eukaryota, Metazoa, Chordata, Amphibia, Anura, Pelobatidae. The record is from the annotation of a GenBank genome assembly.
AUUUUGUGCUAAGAAAGAAAUUAAAAGUGUAUAUUGCCAGAGUCACUCAGAACAGAGCGGACUCCAUUUUGCUAUCUUCAGGAUAACAAAAACACAAUUUCUUCUUACUUUCUGUAACUAGCCACUUGCUUGAACUAAGGGAAUGCAUUAUGUAAACACAGACACUAGUGACAGAGAAGACUAAGUAAUUAAUUUUGCUUUCUAAAUUUUACAAGGUUCCAUUGUAAGUAAGGGGUGAAAUUGAGUUUAGAACUGUCAAUUUUAGAAAUUACGAUCAAAGUAGUUGCCACAAAGACUGAGACAAACGCUUUGAACAGACAGCAAAUCUAAGUUAUGGU